RNAcentral lists this ribosomal RNA (254 nucleotides) under uncultured bacterium. RNAcentral describes it as "partial 16S ribosomal RNA". It matches the Rfam family "Bacterial small subunit ribosomal RNA", at positions 524 to 776 of the family's 1533-position model. The record is from RNAcentral.
UACGUAGGGUGCAAGCGUUGUCCGGAAUUAUUGGGCGUAAAGAGCUCGUAGGCGGUGUGUCACGUCGGCCGUGAAAACCUGGGGCUUAACUCUGGGCGUGCGGUCGAUACGGGCAUCACUAGAGUUCGGCAGGGGAGACUGGAAUUCCUGGUGUAGCGGUGAAAUGCGUAGAUAUCAAGAGGAACACCUGAGGUGAAGACGGGUUGCUGGGCUGACACUGACGCUGAGGCGCGAAAGCCAGGGGAGCAAACGGG